UACGGAGGAUCCGAGCGUUAUCCGGAUUUAUUGGGUUUAAAGGGAGCGUAGGUGGACUGGUAAGUCAGUUGUGAAAGUUUGCGGCUCAACCGUAAAAUUGCAGUUGAUACUGUCAGUCUUGAGUACAGUAGAGGUGGGCGGAAUUCGUGGUGUAGCGGUGAAAUGCUUAGAUAUCACGAAGAACUCCGAUUGCGAAGGCAGCUCACUGGACUGCAACUGACACUGAUGCUCGAAAGUGUGGGUAUCAAACAGGAUUAGAUACCCUGGUAGUCCACACAGUAAACGAUGAGUACUCGCUGUUUGCGAUAUACAGUAAGCGGCCAAGCGAAAGCAUUAAGUAUUCCACCUGGGGAGUACGCCGGCAACGGUGAA
Molecule: ribosomal RNA, 372 nt
Filed under: uncultured bacterium
Lineage: Bacteria
Description: bacterial SSU rRNA
Rfam family: Bacterial small subunit ribosomal RNA
Source: RNAcentral